UAGAGACUAAAAAGACAAAUCAACCUAAUACCACUACAAAACCUAGCAGCCGUAGAGGAGAAAAGAGGGAGAUUUGAGUCUUCUUUUUCAUUUUUCCUGGUUUUUGAUUAAAAAAAAACAUGAACCCCACUGUUUUCAACCACGAAAAUACCCCAAAACCUCCAUCUCCACCUGCAAAUCGCCCUUAAACAACCAACACUUGCGUAAAACAUAGCACCUUAACUCCAAUACGAUUUUGGGUCCUGUAUCUCAUUCUUGGGUUGGGUUUGAAGAGGUCAAGGUCACUGGUCGGAGUCCGGCUCGUGGUUCCGGCAUUUUUGGUUCUAGUCGAGGUUCACAACAAUUUGUUUUGAAGUCUAUUAGAAGGAUGUUGAAGUAGAUACAAAUUACAAUUGAAUAUAUUGGUAUUUUAAGGUAAGAAACGUUGUUCUGUAAAGAGGUAUGGAAAGGCACACAUGUGACCUAGAUUAUGGGCUCGAGGUCCGAGGUUAGUUCCGAAAAUAAGAGGUACGUUGAUAUGUCCCGCGUCCGAGGUUCAUUCUGGAGCGGAGGUUUAUGCUCAGGUCCGAGGAGUGAAUCAAGAACGAGUGGUACAUGGAAACCAUGGGUCCCCUGCAGGUCAUGACUACUGAGCAAUGACAUCAGUUAGCAUGUGUGUACAGUGAGCGUGGUUAUUGUGGUAACUUAAUUCUGUUGUGGCUUCUGUGGAUUAUGACCCUUGAUAUCUUGGUGAUUUGAUUGUGAUUAUCCUUGGUUGACUUGUGUGGUUUAUUGAUAUUCAUGUCUGUUGGCUGACUUGCUUAUUCUAUUGAUUUUAUGAAAUGUGCAUGAUACUAAUCUUAGUCGGCCUAUGAUAUCUACCGGUACGUAGUGUUUGUACUGAUACUACCUUGCUGCAUUCUUUUGAGUGCAUAUUGUGAUACAGAGACUGCUACCCGCCCUCACAUUUAGCGUGGAGGACGUUUGCUGACAGAUUUAGGGUGAGCUUUUUCCCAUGCUAGGCCGCCCGAAGAUCUUCUUCUUAUGAUUUGUUUUCUUAUUCUGGACAUUAUGGAUAUUUAUUAGUCAGAUUUCAUUCCUUAGACAUGUUUUAGAUUAGAGUCUUGUACGAUGACUUUUGGAUUUUGGGGAUUUUGUAAUAGUUAGCACUUCUGCACUUAUUUUAGUAUUUUAUGGCAUGACUUAUUUUGCUUA
Molecule: long non-coding RNA, 1194 nt
Organism: Lycium barbarum (goji berry)
Lineage: Eukaryota; Viridiplantae; Streptophyta; Magnoliopsida; Solanales; Solanaceae
Exons: 2
Source: RefSeq, a predicted model, not a curated record